Molecule: ribosomal RNA, 806 nt
Filed under: uncultured bacterium
Lineage: Bacteria
Description: bacterial SSU rRNA
Rfam family: Bacterial small subunit ribosomal RNA
Source: RNAcentral
CAUGUGUAGCGGUGAAAUGCGUAGAUAUAUGGAGGAACACCGGUGGCGAAAGCGGCUCUCUGGUCUGUCACUGACGCUGAGGCUNGAAAGCGUGGGUAGCGAACAGGAUUAGAUACCCUGGUAGUNCACGCCGUAAACGCUGAGUGCUAGGUGUUAGGUCCUUUCCGGGACUUAGUGCCGACGCUAACGCAUUAAGCACUCCGCCUGGGGAGUACGACCGCAAGGUUGAAACUCAAAGGAAUUGACGGGGGCCCGCACAAGCGGUGGAGCAUGUGGUUUAAUUCGAAGCAACGCGAAGAACCUUACCAGGUCUUGACAUCCCGAUGCCCGCUCUAGAGAUAGAGUUUUUCUUCGGAACAUCGGAGACAGGUGGUGCAUGGUUGUCGUCAGCUCGUGUCGUGAGAUGUUGGGUUUAGUCCCGCAACGAGCGCAACCCUUAUUGUUAGUUGCCAUCAUUAAGUUGGGCACUCUAGCGAGACUGCCGGUAAUAAACCGGAGGAAGGUGGGGAUGACGUCAAAUCAUCAUGCCCCUUAUGACCUGGGCUACACACGUGCUACAAUGGUUGGUCCAACGAGUCGCAAGCCGGUGACGGCAAGCUAAUCUCUGAAAGCCAAUCUCAGUUCGGAUUGUAGGCUGCAACUCGCCUACAUGAAGUCGGAAUCGCUAGUAAUCGCGGAUCAGCACGCCGCGGUGAAUACGUUCCCGGGCCUUGUACACACCGCCCGUCACACCACGAGAGUUUGUAACACCCAAAGUCGGUGAGGUAACCAUUUAUGGGGCCAGCCGCCUAAGGUGGGANGGAUGA